UCCUUGGUGGUCCAGUGGCUAGAACUCUGCACUUUCACAGCUGACGGCCCAGGUUUGAUCCCUGGUCAAGGAA
This is a transfer RNA of Ovis aries (sheep), 73 nucleotides long. It matches the Rfam family "tRNA". From Rfam's summary of the family: Transfer RNA (tRNA) molecules are approximately 80 nucleotides in length. Their secondary structure includes four short double-helical elements and three loops (D, anti-codon, and T loops). NCBI's taxonomy places the organism in Eukaryota, Metazoa, Chordata, Mammalia, Artiodactyla, Bovidae. The record is from Rfam.